UGUCAUAACAUUUUUUGAUCUUCUUGUGAAAAUAAAUAAAAAUAAAUAAAUAAAAAAAAUGUGUGAGACAUGGACCUGAGCAACCUCCCGGAAAAAGCUGUAGAAGUCGACAGCUGUCCUGCGGGCUACUUCACAUUCUAUCUCUGCUGUUGAAACAGCCAUCUUCAAUACCCACGCCAUCAUUAGGCGGACGACCUGAAAUCAUAAGAAGGCAACACAAUUAGCGGGAGGCGGGGAAACAUCGGCACGGAGGCCCGAUGAGACCUGGAGUGCGGCGUGCCCAUCUGCAGACAGAGCACGCUGGCUGGCGGAGGUUUCUUACCUUUACCAGCGGGAUGUGUACACGGUCGAAAAACGUGUUGUUGAGAGGCGACAGAGACCCGCUGCACUGCUCCCUCUUUUUUUUUUUUCGGCGCCGGUGGUGUUGUAGUAGGGCCGCUGGUGCUGCGGCACCUGUAAGUAAAAUGAAGGACGUUGUCCCGGGAAGCCUUCGGUCGCAUUGGGCCUAGAAGGGGGAGAAAAAAGUAAAAUCGCC
RNAcentral lists this long non-coding RNA (535 nucleotides) under Androctonus crassicauda. Lineage: Eukaryota; Metazoa; Arthropoda; Arachnida; Scorpiones; Buthidae. The record is from RNAcentral.